AUUGAACGCUGGCGGCAUGCUUUACACAUGCAAGUCGAACGGCAGCGCGGGCUUCGGCCUGGCGGCGAGUGGCGAACGGGCGAGUAAUGCAUCGGAACGUGCCCAGUAGUGGGGGAUAGCCCGGCGAAAGCCGGAUUAAUACCGCAUACGACCUGAGGGUGAAAGCGGGGGACCGAAAGGCCUCGCGCUAUUGGAGCGGCCGAUGUCGGAUUAGCUAGUUGGUGGGGUAAAGGCUUACCAAGGCGACGAUCCGUAGCUGGUCUGAGAGGAUGACCAGCCACACUGGGACUGAGACACGGCCCAGACUCCUACGGGAGGCAGCAGUGGGGAAUUUUGGACAAUGGGGGCAACCCUGAUCCAGCCAUGCCGCGUGCGGGAAGAAGGCCUUCGGGUUGUAAACCGCUUUUGUUCGGGAAGAAAUCCUCUGGGCUAAUACCCCGGGGGGAUGACGGUACCGGAAGAAUAAGCACCGGCUAACUACGUG
RNAcentral lists this ribosomal RNA (484 nucleotides) under uncultured bacterium. RNAcentral's name for it is "partial 16S ribosomal RNA". It matches the Rfam family "Bacterial small subunit ribosomal RNA", at positions 28 to 507 of the family's 1533-position model. The record is from RNAcentral.